GCAGUUCAGAGGUAGAGCAUCUGAUUGGCAUUCAGUGGGUCCCAGGUUCAAUCUCUGGCAUAUCCA
This 66-nucleotide transfer RNA is filed under the name Sphaerodactylus townsendi. RNAcentral describes it as "tRNA-Ala". It matches the Rfam family "tRNA". Rfam says of the family: Transfer RNA (tRNA) molecules are approximately 80 nucleotides in length. The record is from RNAcentral. Lineage: Eukaryota; Metazoa; Chordata; Lepidosauria; Squamata; Sphaerodactylidae.